Molecule: long non-coding RNA, 1216 nt
Organism: Beta vulgaris subsp. vulgaris (sugar beet)
Lineage: Eukaryota; Viridiplantae; Streptophyta; Magnoliopsida; Caryophyllales; Amaranthaceae
Exons: 2
Source: RefSeq, a predicted model, not a curated record
UUGAAAAACGCCCUGCUAAAAUUUCUGAUGCGUUAUGGUCACGUUUUGAUUCUAUUGUCAAGUAAUGGAUUUAUGGCACUAUUUUCUCUGAUUUAUUACAAACUAUUCUUUGUCGUGGGGAUUACGCACAAGUUCUUUAUGACAAAUUGAAGGCUAUUUUUCAAGAUAAUAAACAUACUCGGGUUGUUUAUCUUGAAAAUCAAUUUGAUUCCCUUCACUUGUCCAAUUUUUCUGAUGUUUCGUCAUAUUGCACAAAAUGAAAGAAUUUGAAGACCAACUUGCCAAUCUUGAUCAACCUGUUUCUUAGCAAAAAUUUGUUCGUCGGCUUAUUGCUGGCCUUUGCCUUUGUUUGAGUCUGCAAGAUCUCGUCUUUUGCUUGAAGAAUCUCGACGUGCACAAGACACCACCUCCCCAAACACUUCAUUCACGGCUCAAGGACCACCGACGACAGCAACCGCCACAUCAACACCACUACUACACCAACAGCAGCACAACUAAUGUGGUCGUGGUGGUGGUGGGCCCGGGAGCGGCGUGGCCGUGGGUCCAACGAGCCCCUCACCCACAUCAAUCCUCGAUAGGUCAACCAUCCCAGCAGCAUCAUGCCUCGCAGCAGGUCGCUUCUUCUUGGGCUAGACCACCCCCGCAGCAGACUUGGUCUGCCCCUCCCUAUUUGGCUCAGGCAUAGGCUACUGCUCCAGCCUAAUUCCCACAGCAGCCCAGGAGUUUUUGGCCCCCAUAAUCUGCCGCAUAUGGGCCAAGCCCAGUCAGUCAAUUUAUGUCGCAAGCCCACCAGUCCACAUACGCUCCCUAUCUGGUUCAUGGGCCUACUCGUUGGCCAACUCGUUUUCUACCAUGAUGCUUCCAAAAAUAAUUCGUGAUACAUGGAUUUGGGUAUGACUGCUCAUAUAACAAAUUCUUCAGGACCUCCACACGGGGAAUAUCAUAGCGAGAUGCAAUAGUUCAGGGGAACUUUAUCCAGUGAUUGGCACUCUACCUUCUACAUGUCUAGCCAUCGCUCUCACGACCACUUCCUCACCAAUUUGGCAUAGUCGCCUCGGACAUUCAAGAUCUCAAGUUUUAAAUUUUCUUAAAUCUAAAGAUUUACUACAUUGUAAUAAAGAGCCUACCUCUGAUUUUUGCAAUUCUGGUCAAGUAGGCAAACAUAUUCGUUUACCGUUUCAUCCAUUAAAUAGUAAUACUGUUUUUGCUUUUGAUA